RNAcentral lists this ribosomal RNA (403 nucleotides) under uncultured bacterium. Its description in RNAcentral is "bacterial SSU rRNA". It matches the Rfam family "Bacterial small subunit ribosomal RNA", at positions 355 to 776 of the family's 1533-position model. The record is from RNAcentral.
UGAGGAAUUUUCCGCAAUGGGCGAAAGCCUGACGGAGCGACGCCGUGUGGGUGAUGAAGGCCUUCGGGUCUUAAAGCCCUGUCAGCAGAGACGAUAUUGACGGUAUCUGCAGAGGAGGCCCCGGCUAACUACGUGCCAGCAGCCGCGGUAAUACGUAGGGGGCAAGCGUUGUCCGGAAUCAUUGGGCGUAAAGCGCAUGUAGGCGGCUUUGUAAGUCAAAUGUCAAAUCCCCGGGCUCAACCCGGGUCAGCAUUUGAUACUGCGAAGCUAGAGAGAUAAAGAGGAAAGCGGAACUUCAGGUGUAGCGGUGAAAUGCGUAGAUAUCUGAAGGAACACCAGUGGCGAAGGCGGCUUUCUGGUUAUUUUCUGACGCUGAGAUGCGAAAGCUAAGGGAGCAAACGGG